GCCGAGCAUUGUGGCGCAUGCCUGUAGUCCCAGCUACUUGGGAGGCUGAGGCAGGAGGAUCCCUUGAGCCCAGGAGUUUGAGGUUGCUGUGAGCUAGGCUGAUGCCAUGGCACUCUAGCCCUGGCAAAAAGUGAGAUUCUGUUUCAAAAAAAGAAGGAGAGAGAUGAGUCUUACUCUGUCUAGGCUGGAGUGUAGCAUUCUCAUCAUAGCUCACUGCAACUUCAAAUUCAUGCACUCAAGUGAUCCUCUUGCCUCA
RNAcentral lists this small RNA (256 nucleotides) under Microcebus murinus (gray mouse lemur). RNAcentral's name for it is "Metazoan signal recognition particle RNA (ENSMICG00000032325.2)". The record is from RNAcentral. Lineage: Eukaryota; Metazoa; Chordata; Mammalia; Primates; Cheirogaleidae.